This 256-nucleotide long non-coding RNA is filed under the name Homo sapiens (human). RNAcentral describes it as "HSALNT0256699". Lineage: Eukaryota; Metazoa; Chordata; Mammalia; Primates; Hominidae. The record is from RNAcentral.
GUUUUGUUUUGUUUUGUUUUGUUUUGUUUUGAGACAGGGUGUCACUCUGUUGUCCAGGCUGGAGUGCAGUGGUACAAUAAUGGCUCACUGCAGCCUUAACCUCCUGGGCUCAAGCAAUCCUCCUGCCUCAGCCUCCCUGGUAGCUGAAACCACAGGUGCAUGUCACCACACCGGCUAUUGCUUGUAUUGUUUGUAGAGACAAGGUCUCACUAUGUUGCCCAGGCUCCCAUCUCUAAAAAAUUAUUUUUAAAUUAGC